AUUGAACGCUGGCGGCAUGCUUUACGCAUGCAAGUCGAACGGUAACAGGCCGCAAGGUGCUGACGAGCGGCGAACGGGUGAGUAAUGCAUCGGAACGUGCCCAGUCGUGGGGGAUAACUACUCGAAAGAGUAGCUAAUACCGCAUACGAUCUAUGGAUGAAAGCGGGGGACCGUAAGGCCUCGCGCGAUUGGAGCGGCCGAUGUCAGAUUAGGUAGUUGGUGGGGUAAAGGCUCACCAAGCCAACGAUCUGUAGCUGGUCUGAGAGGACGACCAGCCACACUGGGACUGAGACACGGCCCAGACUCCUACGGGAGGCAGCAGUGGGGAAUUUUGGACAAUGGGCGCAAGCCUGAUCCAGCAAUGCCGCGUGCAGGAAGAAGGCCUUCGGGUUGUAAACUGCUUUUGUACGGAACGAAACGGCUCUGGUUAAUACCCGGGGCUAAUGACGGUACCGUAAGAAUAAGCACCGGCUAACUACGUG
RNAcentral lists this ribosomal RNA (482 nucleotides) under uncultured bacterium. Its description in RNAcentral is "partial 16S ribosomal RNA". It matches the Rfam family "Bacterial small subunit ribosomal RNA", at positions 30 to 507 of the family's 1533-position model. The record is from RNAcentral.